CGCUUUCGCACCUCAGUGUCAGUAUCAGUCCAGGUGGUCGCCUUCGCCACUGGUGUUCCUUCCUAUAUCUACGCAUUUCACCGCUACACAGGAAAUUCCACCACCCUCUACCAUACUCUAGCUUGUCAGUUUUGAAUGCAGUUCCCAGGUUGAGCCCGGGGAUUUCACAUCCAACUUAACAAACCACCUACGCGCGCUUUACGCCCAGUAAUUCCGAUUAACGCUUGCACCCUCUGUAUUACCGCGGCUGCUGGCACAGAGUUAGCCGGUGCUUAUUCUGUCGGUAACGUCAAAACAGCAAAGUAUUAAUUUACUGCCCUUCCUCCCAACUUAAAGUGCUUUACAAUCCGAAGACCUUCUUCACACACGCGGCAUGGCUGGAUCAGGCUUUCGCCCAUUGUCCAAUAUUCCCCACUGCUGCCUCCCGUAGGAGUCUGGACCGUGUCUCAGUUCCAGUGUGACUGAUCAUCCUCUCAGACCAGUUACGGAUCGUCGCCUUGGUGAGCCAUUACCUCACCAACUAGCUAAUCCGACCUAGGCUCAUCUGAUAGCGCAAGGCCCGAAGGUCCCCUGCUUUCUCCCGUAGGACGUAUGCGGUAUUAGCGUCCCUUUCGAGACGUUGUCCCCCACUACCAGGCAGAUUCCUAGGCAUUACUCACCCGUCCGCCGCUGAAUCAGAGAGCAAGCUCUCAUCAUCCGCUCGACUUGCAUGUGUUAGGCCUGCCGCCAGCGUUCAAU
RNAcentral lists this ribosomal RNA (738 nucleotides) under Pseudomonas umsongensis. RNAcentral's name for it is "partial 16S rRNA". The record is from RNAcentral. Lineage: Bacteria; Pseudomonadati; Pseudomonadota; Gammaproteobacteria; Pseudomonadales; Pseudomonadaceae.